RNAcentral lists this ribosomal RNA (497 nucleotides) under uncultured bacterium. RNAcentral describes it as "partial 16S ribosomal RNA". It matches the Rfam family "Bacterial small subunit ribosomal RNA", at positions 28 to 507 of the family's 1533-position model. The record is from RNAcentral.
GAUGAACGCUGGCGGCGUGCCUAAUACAUGCAAGUCGAGCGAACAGACGAGGAGCUUGCUCCUCUGACGUUAGCGGCGGACGGGUGAGUAACACGUGGAUAACCUACCUAUAAGACUGGGAUAACUUCGGGAAACCGGGGCUAAUACCGGAUAAUAUAUUGAACCGCAUGGUUCAAUAGUGAAAGAGGGUUUUGCUGUCACUUAUAGAUGGAUCCGCGCCGCAUUAGCUAGUUGGUAAGGUAACGGCUUACCAAGGCAACGAUGCGUAGCCGACCUGAGAGGGUGAUCGGCCACACUGGAACUGAGACACGGUCCAGACUCCUACGGGAGGCAGCAGUAGGGAAUCUUCCGCAAUGGGCGAAAGCCUGACGGAGCAACGCCGCGUGAGUGAUGAAGGUCUUCGGAUCGUAAAACUCUGUUAUUAGGGAAGAACAAAUGUGUAAGUAACUAUGCACGUCUUGACGGUACCUAAUCAGAAAGCCACGGCUAACUACGUG